This is a small nucleolar RNA of Otolemur garnettii (small-eared galago), 115 nucleotides long. Lineage: Eukaryota; Metazoa; Chordata; Mammalia; Primates; Galagidae. The record is from Ensembl.
GGGGUGUGCACAGAGUAGAGGGCCUGAAAAAUGGCUCCUCUGUUCAUAACAUGCCCAGCAGAAAUCGGGGUCAUUGUGAUGAGGGGCACAAAACUUGAACAUAUUCUCUACAUGU